This 305-nucleotide ribosomal RNA is filed under the name uncultured bacterium. Its description in RNAcentral is "bacterial SSU rRNA". It matches the Rfam family "Bacterial small subunit ribosomal RNA", at positions 332 to 637 of the family's 1533-position model. The record is from RNAcentral.
UGGGCUACGGGGGGCAGCAGUGAGGAAUAUUGGUCAAUGGGCGGAAGCCUGAACCAGCCAAGUCGCGUGAGGGAAGAAGGCCCUGCGGGUCGCAGACCUCUUUGGACGGGGAGCAAGGCCGCCGACGUGUCGGCGGAAGGAGAGUACCCGUAGAACAAGCAUCGGCUAACUCCGUGCCAGCAGCCGCGGUAAUACGGAGGAUGCGAGCGUUAUCCGGAUUUAUUGGGUUUAAAGGGUGCGCAGGCGGAAGAUCAAGUCAGCGGUAAAAUUGAGAGGCUCAACCUCUUCGAGCCGCUGAAACUGGU